CCUGUUCGCUCUUUGUUCUUCCUCGCUUGUGCUCCUUGCCAACUUAGAAAAUGCCGCCUUCUUCACCUCCACUUUUCCUUCGACUACAUCGUUCCACCACCAGUCACCCUGAUGUCUGCCUGAACAGCCCUUGGCUACCCCGAGCACAUCCCAUGCUACCUCCCUAACCAAGUUCACCGUCUCUGACCACAUAGCGUCCUCUUCCCCAGAACUUUGCCAAGCUCCGCCCUCUGCUAACCUCCUCUCCAACUCAUGCGCUUUCUCCUUAGUCAAAAUCUGCGGUUGUCCUCUAGCACCCCUCCUCUUCCUCUUCACCCAGAGACCGACAUCCAUCACUAGGAGUCUAUGAAGAGU
Molecule: long non-coding RNA, 354 nt
Filed under: Nicotiana benthamiana
Lineage: Eukaryota; Viridiplantae; Streptophyta; Magnoliopsida; Solanales; Solanaceae
Description: long non-coding RNA (NBEN_LNC025262)
Source: RNAcentral